This 327-nucleotide long non-coding RNA is filed under the name Lathyrus oleraceus (garden pea). Its description in RNAcentral is "Pisum sativum (pea) long non-coding RNA (PSAT_LNC034103)". The record is from RNAcentral. Lineage: Eukaryota; Viridiplantae; Streptophyta; Magnoliopsida; Fabales; Fabaceae.
UAUCACCCUAUUCAAAUGGUUGAAAGAGUCUUGUUUGGAGUUGUGUGGGGUUGAAUAAUUAUGUUUGUAAUAUUUCAGAAGUUGGCAAAAAAAGAAAAAAAAAAGAAAAAAAGAAAAAAAGAAAAAAGAAAAAGAAAAAAAUGAAAGAAAAAAAUAGAAGGAUGUCAAUACAUACUCCUUCUGAAAAAGAAAAAAAAAGAAUAAAAAGAGAAAGGAGAAGAGAAAACAAUUGCUAUAGAGUUGUUGUAGUGAAUGAAAUCUUGUAAAUUCAACUCCCGCAAUUUCUUUCAAGUCUCUUUUGUCUCUUUGAAAUUUAGCCUAGUACCC